GAAGAAGCCUUUUUUGUGACGGUAUGUGCAGAAGAAGCGCCGGCUAACUACGUGCCAGCAGCCGCGGUAAUACGUAGGGCGCGAGCGUUGUCCGGAAUUAUUGGGCGUAAAGAGCUCGUAGGCGGUUUGUUGCGCCUGCUGUGAAAGACCGGGGCUUAACUUCGGGGUUGCAGUGGGUACGGGCAGACUAGAGUGUGGUAGGGGUAAUUGGAAUUCCUGGUGUAGCGGUGGAAUGCGCAAAUAUCAGGAGGAACACCGAUGGCAAAGGCAGGUUACUGGGCCAUUACUGACGCUGAGGAGCGAAAGCGUGGGUAGCGAACAGGAUUAGAUACCCGGGUAGUCCACGCUGUAAACGUUGGGCACUAGGUGUGGGGCCUUUUCCACGGUUUCUGCGCCGUACCUAACGCUUUAAUUGCCCCGCCUGGGGAGUACGGCCGCAAGGUUAAAACUCAAAGGAAUUGACGGGGGCCCGCACAAGCGGCGGAGCAUGCGGAUUAUUUCGAUGCACCGCGAAGAACCUUACCAAGGCUUGACAUACACUGCGAUGUGCCAGAGAUGGUGCAGCCUUCGGGGUGUUGUACAGGUGGUGCAUGGUUGUCGUCAGCUCGUGUCGUGAGAUGUUGGGUUAAGUCCCGCAACGAGCGCAACCCUUGUCCUGUGUUGCCAGCAUGUUGUGGUGGGGAACUCACGGGAAAACUGCCGGGGUUAACUCGGAGGAAGGUGGGGAUGACGUCAAAUCAUCAUGCCCCUUAUGUCUUGGGCUUCACGCAUGCUACAAUGGCCGGUACAGAGGGUUGCGAGCCUGUGAGGGUGAGCUAAUCCCUUAAAGCUGGUCUCAGUUCGGAUUGGGGUCUGCAACUCGACCCCAUGAAGUCGGAGUCGCUAGUAAUCGCAGAUCAGCAACGCUGCGGUGAAUACGUUCUCGGGCCUUGUACACACCGCCCGUCACGUCACGAAAGUUGGUAACACCCGAAGCCCGUGGCCUAACCUUUGUGGGGGAGCGGUUGUAGUU
This 1012-nucleotide ribosomal RNA is filed under the name Trueperella pyogenes. RNAcentral describes it as "bacterial SSU rRNA". It matches the Rfam family "Bacterial small subunit ribosomal RNA", at positions 453 to 1463 of the family's 1533-position model. The record is from RNAcentral. Lineage: Bacteria; Bacillati; Actinomycetota; Actinomycetes; Actinomycetales; Actinomycetaceae.